UGGGUCAAUGAUGACCACUAUGAGUCAUACAUCAUGAUUACAGUUCUGGUAGUCUGAGGUCAAC
This 64-nucleotide small nucleolar RNA is filed under the name Mesocricetus auratus (golden hamster). Its description in RNAcentral is "Small nucleolar RNA SNORD113/SNORD114 family". It matches the Rfam family "Small nucleolar RNA SNORD113/SNORD114 family". From Rfam's summary of the family: The imprinted human domain at 14q32 contains two clusters of tandemly repeated small nucleolar RNAs named 14q(I) and 14q(II) snoRNAs. These two clusters are named SNORD113 and SNORD114 respectively in the HGNC approved gene symbol nomenclature. Lineage: Eukaryota; Metazoa; Chordata; Mammalia; Rodentia; Cricetidae. The record is from Rfam by way of RNAcentral.